GUGAGUAAUGUAUGGGGAUCUGCCCGAUAGAGGGGGAUAACUACUGGAAACGGUGGCUAAUACCGCAUAAUCUCUUAGGAGCAAAGCAGGGGACCUUCGGGCCUUGCGCUGUCGGAUGAACCCAUAUGGGAUUAGCUAGUAGGUAAGGUAAUGGCUUACCUAGGCGACGAUCCCUAGCUGGUCUGAGAGGAUGAUCAGCCACACUGGGACUGAGACACGGCCCAGACUCCUACGGGAGGCAGCAGUGGGGAAUAUUGCACAAUGGGCGCAAGCCUGAUGCAGCCAUGCCGCGUGUAUGAAGAAGGCCCUAGGGUUGUAAAGUACUUUCAGUCGGGAGGAAGGCGUUGAUGU
This 351-nucleotide ribosomal RNA is filed under the name Escherichia coli. RNAcentral's name for it is "bacterial SSU rRNA". It matches the Rfam family "Bacterial small subunit ribosomal RNA", at positions 106 to 460 of the family's 1533-position model. Lineage: Bacteria; Pseudomonadati; Pseudomonadota; Gammaproteobacteria; Enterobacterales; Enterobacteriaceae. The record is from RNAcentral.